GUCUUUCUGGAUAACUCAGCUGAAUAGAGCGUGGUGCUGAUAACGCCAAGGUUGCAGGUUCCAUCCCUGCAUGGGGCA
Podarcis lilfordi (Lilford's wall lizard) is the source of this 78-nucleotide non-coding RNA. The record is from the annotation of a GenBank genome assembly. NCBI's taxonomy places the organism in Eukaryota, Metazoa, Chordata, Lepidosauria, Squamata, Lacertidae.